GACGAACGCUGGCGGCGUGCUUAACACAUGCAAGUCGGACGAUGAAGCUGGAGCUUGCUCUGGCGGAUUAGUGGCGAACGGGUGAGUAACACGUGAGAAAUCUGCCCUUGACUCUGGGAUAACUGCGGGAAACUGUAGCCAAUACCGGAUACUUUCCCUGGUGGGCAUCCACUGGGGAAGAAAGAAUUUCGGUCAAGGAUGAUCUCGCGGCCUAUCAGCUUGUUGGUGAGGUAAUGGCUCACCAAGGCGACGACGGGUAGCCGGCCUGAGAGGGUGACCGGCCACACUGGGACUGAGACACGGCCCAGACUCCUACGGGAGGCAGCAGUGGGGAAUAUUGCACAAUGGGCGCAAGCCUGAUGCAGCAACGCCGCGUGAGGGAUGAAGGCCUUCGGGUUGUAAACCUCUUUUAGCAGGGAAGAAGCGAAAGUGACGGUAGGUGCAGAAGAAGGACCGGCCAACUACGUGCCAGCCGCCCCCGUAA
Molecule: ribosomal RNA, 484 nt
Filed under: uncultured bacterium
Lineage: Bacteria
Description: partial 16S ribosomal RNA
Rfam family: Bacterial small subunit ribosomal RNA
Source: RNAcentral